Long non-coding RNA from Neopelma chrysocephalum (saffron-crested tyrant-manakin), 136 nucleotides. RefSeq lists it as uncharacterized. The record is from RefSeq and is a predicted model, not a curated record. The transcript has 4 exons. NCBI's taxonomy places the organism in Eukaryota, Metazoa, Chordata, Aves, Passeriformes, Pipridae.
GCCAGGGCCCAGCAGACAGCAAUGAGUUGCUCCUCUAUGGAGUUGCCACAGCAUUCUCCUUGCAAAUAUUCUGUCACUUUAUCAGGGUCCUGUAGUUGUUCAGGGGUGAACUUCCAAACCAUUGGAGGAGAGAAUU